AUUGAACGCUGGCGGCAGGCCUAACACAUGCAAGUCGAACGGUAACAGGGAUCAGCUUGCUGAUUCGCUGACGAGUGGCGGACGGGUGAGUAAUGUCUGGGAAACUGCCUGAUGGAGGGGGAUAACUACUGGAAACGGUAGCUAAUACCGCAUAACGUCGCAAGCCCAAAGAGGGGGACCUUCGGGCCUCUUGCCAUCGGAUGUGCCCAGAUGGGAUUAGCUAGUAGGUGGGGUUACGGCUCACCUAGGCGACGAUCCCUAGCUGGUCUGAGAGGAUGACCAGCCACACUGGAACUGAGACACGGUCCAGACUCCUACGGGAGGCAGCAGUGGGGAAUAUUGCACAGUGGGCGGAAGCCUGAUGCAGCCAUGCCGCGUGUGUGAAGAAGGCCUUCGGGUUGUAAAGUACUUUCAGCGGGGAGGAAGGGAGUAAAGUUAAUACCUUGGCUCAUUGACGUUACCCGCAGAAGAAGCACCGGCUAACUCCGUG
This 490-nucleotide ribosomal RNA is filed under the name uncultured bacterium. RNAcentral's name for it is "partial 16S ribosomal RNA". It matches the Rfam family "Bacterial small subunit ribosomal RNA", at positions 30 to 507 of the family's 1533-position model. The record is from RNAcentral.